This is a non-coding RNA of Pangasius djambal, 82 nucleotides long. The record is from the annotation of a GenBank genome assembly. NCBI's taxonomy places the organism in Eukaryota, Metazoa, Chordata, Actinopteri, Siluriformes, Pangasiidae.
GUAGUUGUGGCUGAGUGGUUAAGGUGCUGGACUAGAAAUCCAUUGGGAUCUUCUUGUGCAGGUUCAAAUCCUUCUGACUACG